Molecule: ribosomal RNA, 492 nt
Filed under: uncultured bacterium
Lineage: Bacteria
Description: partial 16S ribosomal RNA
Rfam family: Bacterial small subunit ribosomal RNA
Source: RNAcentral
AGUGAACGCUGGCGGUAGGCCUAACACAUGCAAGUCGAACGGCAGCACAGUAAGAGCUUGCUCUUACGGGUGGCGAGUGGCGGACGGGUGAGGAAUACAUCGGAAUCUACUUUUUCGUGGGGGAUAACGUAGGGAAACUUACGCUAAUACCGCAUACGACCUACGGGUGAAAGCAGGGGAUCUUCGGACCUUGCGCGAUUGAAUGAGCCGAUGUCGGAUUAGCUAGUUGGCGGGGUAAAGGCACACCAAGGCGACGAUCCGUAGCUGCUCUGAGAGGAUGAUCACACACACUGGAACAGAGACACGGUACAGACUCCUACAGGAGGAAGCAGUGGGGAAUCUUAGACGAUGGGGGCAAGCCUGAUCCAGCCAUACCGCGUGGGUGAAGAAGGCCUUCGGGUUGUAAAGCCAUUUUGUUGGGAGAGAAAAGCAGCAGGUUAAUACCCCACUGUUCUGACGGUACCCAAAGAAUAAGCACCGGCUAACUUCGUG